RNAcentral lists this ribosomal RNA (464 nucleotides) under uncultured bacterium. RNAcentral describes it as "partial 16S ribosomal RNA". It matches the Rfam family "Bacterial small subunit ribosomal RNA", at positions 29 to 507 of the family's 1533-position model. The record is from RNAcentral.
ACGAACGCUGGCGGCGUGCUUAACACAUGCAAGUCGCACGGAAAGGCCCCUUUGGGGGUACUCGAGUGGCGAACGGGUGAGUAACACGUGAGUAACCUGCCCUUGACUUCGGGAUAACUUCAGGAAACUGGGGCUAAUACCGGAUAGGAAUCCUUGCUGCAUGGUGGGGGUUGGAAAGCUUCGGCGGUUUUGGAUGGACUCGCGGCUUAUCAGCUUGUUGGUGGGGUAGUGGCUUACCAAGGCUUUGACGGGUAGCCGGCCUGGGAGGGGGACCGGCCACAUUGGGGACGAGAAUAGGCCCAGGCUCCCAAGGGGGGGAGGAGUGGGGAAAUUUGGACAAUGGGCGGAAGGCUGGUGGAGGAAAGGCGGGGGGGGGAUGAACGGCUUUGGGUUGGAAAACGGCUUCAGCAGGGGCGAAGCUUGGGGUGACGGUACCUGCAGAAGAAGCACCGGCUAACUACGUG